GAACGCGAUGGAGGCGCCCCCGCAGCUGGAGACAGAAGCACCAGAGUGACCUCUGCUCAGCCACUGAGGCUCAGGGAACUCUUCCUUACUAUGUGGGCAGGAAACUCCUCCCAUGAACUGGACUCAUGAACUGGACCCUCUGUUGUCCUAACAAACACCAACCUGUUUGCCAGUUGUGAAAGAGUGGAAAUGGGCUUUAUUCUUGCUGUGAUUGCCAUCAUCCUCAGGUGGGGACCCCCAAACCACUCAAGAUACUUGAACUACACUGUAAGAAUCCAUAAAUUAUUUCUUAAAUUAGCCAUGAAAUUGUAAAAGGUGUCUCUAUCUGUGAAAUUCCUGGGACCAAUGUACGAUAAGGCAGGUACAAGUGUGUAGCAUAGAAAGUGAGAAGGUCAAGUUUCUCCUCUACUCUGGGCUGGCAAGAAUUCAGUUUAACUUAGAAAGGUAAGAUGGAGUCAGAACUUUAAACUCUGGGGAGCCCCUCAAAACCCCUCAAAGGUUUUGAACUGGGAAGUGAUAUAACAGCAAACAUCUGUUGAGUACUCAAGCCCUGUGUUAAGUGCAUUGCCUGCAUUAAUCUUAAUGAUGUCCCUGUUUUUACAGAUUAGGAAACUGAGGAUCAGAGAAGGUAAAUGACUUGCCCAAGGACACACAGCAAGGCACAGAACUGGGAGUCCAACCAAGCUUAAGUCCAAAGCACCACUCUUACCCUUUCGUAUAGGACGGGCAGCUAUACUACUGUUUGGACUGGGCCAGCAAAAGCUCUCAACCCCCUCUGAGCAGGGACAAGUAAAGGACCACCAAGUCACCUGGGACCGGGAAGCAUCUCCAGGUCAUGGUCUCCAAGUACCAGGCAACUUGCAAUGAGGUCUCCCAGCCACUGGAGGCCAGCAUUACCACUCAGCAGAUGCCACAUAUCCACAGAAAUGGCCGAAGAAAGAAGGUCCUUGGGAUUUUCAUACAAAGCAGAAAAGCUCACCCUUUGAGCUCACCCUUUGAUGGUACCCCCUGGCCCAACAGAAAAUGCACAAGAAUUAAAAAAAAAAGACAAUUAUUAAAAUACUGGCUUCGGUUUCUUUUUUCCUUUCAAAUCUCCUGCAAGUGCUUCACUUAUUUAUAUGCAGCACUGGCUUUUCUUUUUUCCAUGAACCUAUUCAAACUCAAAUCUUCAUUAGAUGUCCCAGUUCCAGCCAGCCCUCCAGCAUCUUUCCAUUCAGAUGGAUGGAAAGUACAUCAUCUUCUCAGGUUGACUCAGUCUAUAAAUGAGGGGCUAGCAAUUUCCCACCGAAAGUCCGCACCCUGACAUGAAGAAAUGGGGCCAAAGGCCAUCUGAUUUCCUAAGUCCGCACCCUGACAUGAAGAAAUGGGGCCG
Molecule: long non-coding RNA, 1372 nt
Filed under: Ovis aries (sheep)
Lineage: Eukaryota; Metazoa; Chordata; Mammalia; Artiodactyla; Bovidae
Description: lncRNA (ENSOARG00000025546.1)
Source: RNAcentral